Meleagris gallopavo (turkey) is the source of this 1217-nucleotide non-coding RNA. Lineage: Eukaryota; Metazoa; Chordata; Aves; Galliformes; Phasianidae. The record is from RefSeq and is a predicted model, not a curated record.
GAAGCGGGGCGUGCGCGGGCUCGAAGGGCUUUUCUAACGGUGUUCUCUUUUCUCUCCUCCCUGUGACGAUCCGCGCUUUGCAGAGUGCACAGAGGAAUGAGAGACUCUAGCAAAAAGAACAACAUUUUUGCUCAGUUCAGGAAGAACGAUCGCGACAAGCAGAAGUUGAUUGAGACAGUGGUGAAGCAACUCAGGAGCCUGGUGAAUGGCAUGUCCCAGCACACAUAGGCCCGCUGCUACAGAACUGAGCCUUACCACGCCAAGAGGUAUUUCAGAGCCACUCGUUCUGCCCAGCAGUGCUCUCAGUUGGGACAUUUGUUUGACUGGGUAAAAGAAAAGCGCAGCCCAUGGCAGAGAUAUGGGGCCCUCAGCAAAUGUUCUUUGUACGAAUUUUUAACGGAUCGAAAACUAUUUUCUAUAUUGUAAACAAAUGGUGAAAAAUGAGACUGUACAAUAAAACCAGCUCUAUCACAUUGAACAUGGGCAGCUGAACUGUAAAUACAUUAUUUAAGUGUCUGCAGACAAGAUGUUUGCAGUGUUGCUCUGGGCAGCAAUUAUCUGAGAAAUGAUCCCUUUAUUGCUGGUUUCAGGAUGAAUCCUAAUUUAAUGUGUUGAUUUUUUUUGUUUUGCUUUCUGUUUUCUUUUUUUUUUAAGUGCUGAGAUCCCCGCAUUCAGAUACCGCCUGUCACUUUCCUGCAUUAAAUGUAUAGUAGCCUUAAGGUGAUUGGACAUCAUUUUGUAUACCGAAUUUUGUAGUCUGGAGGUAUGAGAAAAUCUUCUGAUUUUUGGUACCUUUAAGAACUCCCCAAGCACUAGGCUUGGUAUUUAUUUAGCAUUAGGACUUCUAGGCUUUGUUCUCUGAAAGAGUUUAAUCUUGAGUUUCUGACUGUAAAUAACCAUUUGAGUUCUUUAUAAUGUGACUUUCUGGGUUCUGUUCCUCAGGGUGACCAUUUCUAACCGUACUUUUUAAGAUCCUGGGCUCUCCCCAGGGCACGGUGAGGAAAAGAUUUGCCACUGUUGGUUCUGUGCUGCCUCUUUUGGUCCGAACGCCCCAUCCCAGCAAGGAGUGCCCCAGGCCAGGCGCUGUGCACUGUCACCUCCUGGCAAUUUUAGACAUGAGGAGAAUGUCUAACAGAUAUAAACCAAAUGUAAAAAUAAUGUACAUUUCGCUGUAUUUUUAAGUUAUUGACCGUCUAAAUACAGUAAUAUAAACCUUA